RNAcentral lists this ribosomal RNA (253 nucleotides) under uncultured bacterium. RNAcentral describes it as "partial 16S ribosomal RNA". It matches the Rfam family "Bacterial small subunit ribosomal RNA", at positions 524 to 776 of the family's 1533-position model. The record is from RNAcentral.
UACGUAGGGGGUAAGCGUUGUCCGGAAUCAUUGGGCGUAAAGAGCGCGUAGGCGGUCCGGUAAGUCCGCUCUGAAAGUCCGGGGCUCAACCCCGGGAGGCGGGCGGAUACUGCCGGGCUAGAGUCCGGAAGAGGCGAGCGGAAUUCCUGGUGUAGCGGUGAAAUGCGCAGAUAUCAGGAGGAACACCGGUGGCGAAGGCGGAUCUCUGGGCCUUACCUGACGCUCAGGCGCGAAAGCUAGGGGAGCGAACUGG